This 513-nucleotide ribosomal RNA is filed under the name uncultured Flavobacterium sp. RNAcentral's name for it is "bacterial SSU rRNA". It matches the Rfam family "Bacterial small subunit ribosomal RNA", at positions 9 to 519 of the family's 1533-position model. The record is from RNAcentral. Lineage: Bacteria; Pseudomonadati; Bacteroidota; Flavobacteriia; Flavobacteriales; Flavobacteriaceae.
GAGUUUGAUCCUGGCUCGGGAUGAACGCUAGCGGCAGGCUUAAUACAUGCAAGUCGAGGGGCAGCACGGGUAGCAAUACUUGGUGGCGACCGGCGCACGGGUGCGUAACACGUAUACAACCUACCUAUAACAGGGGGAUAGCCUUUCGAAAGAGAGAUUAAUACCUCAUAGCAUUAUGAAAAGGCAUCUUUUAUGAUUAAAGUUCCAACGGUAAAGAUGAGCAUGCGUCCCAUUAGCUAGAUGGUAAGGUAACGGCUUACCAUGGCGACGAUGGGUAGGGGUCCUGAGAGGGAGAUCCCCCACACUGGUACUGAGACACGGACCAGACUCCUACGGGAGGCAGCAGUGAGGAAUAUUGGUCAAUGGGCGCAAGCCUGAACCAGCCAUGCCGCGUGCAGGAUGACGGUCCUAUGGAUUGUAAACUGCUUUUGCACGGGAAGAAACACUGGAACGUGUUCCAGCUUGACGGUACCGUAAGAAUAAGGAUCGGCUAACUCCGUGCCAGCAGCCGCA